CAGCAGCCGCGGUAAUACCGGCGGCCCGAGUGGCGGUCACUAUUAUUGGGCUUAAAGCGUCCGUAGCCGGGUUGGGAAGUCCUCCGGGAAAUCUGGCCGCUUAACGGUCAGAAUGCCGGAGGAUACUCCCAGCCUAGGGAGCGGGAGAGGCCGAGGGGAUUCCCGGAGUAGGGGGGAAAUCCUAUAAUCCCGGGAGGACCACCUGUGGCGAAGGCGCUCGGCUGGAACGCGUCCGACGGUGAGGGACGAAGGCCAGGGGAGCAAACCGGAUUAGAUACCCGGGUAGUCCACGCCGUAAACGGUGGGCACUAGGUGUGGGGGGUUAAUCCCUCCGUGCCGAAGCUAACGCAUUAAGUGCCCCGCCUGGGGAGUACGGCCGCAAGGUUGAAACUUAAAGGAAUUGGCGGG
RNAcentral lists this ribosomal RNA (408 nucleotides) under uncultured microorganism. Its description in RNAcentral is "bacterial SSU rRNA". It matches the Rfam family "Archaeal small subunit ribosomal RNA", at positions 459 to 872 of the family's 1478-position model. The record is from RNAcentral.